AGCGCAGGCGGGAAGACAAGUUGGAAGUGAAAUCUAUGGGCUCAACCCAUAAACUGCUUUCAAAACUGUUUUUCUUGAGUAGUGCAGAGGUAGGCGGAAUUCCCGGUGUAGCGGUGGAAUGCGUAGAUAUCGGGAGGAACACUAGUGGCGAAGGCGGCCUACUGGGCACCAACUGACGCUGAGGCUCGAAAGUGUGGGUAGCAAACA
Molecule: ribosomal RNA, 207 nt
Filed under: uncultured bacterium
Lineage: Bacteria
Description: partial 16S ribosomal RNA
Rfam family: Bacterial small subunit ribosomal RNA
Source: RNAcentral